GUAGUCCUUGCCGUAAACUAUGUAUACUUGAUGUAACCGGACUCAACCCUGGUUGUGUCGAAGCUAACGCGAUAAGUAUACCGCCUGGGAAGUACGCUCGCAAGGGUGAAACUCAAAAGAAUUGACGGGGACCCGCACAAGCAGUGGAGCAUGUGGUUUAAUUCGAUGCAACGCGAAGAACCUUACCCAGGUUUGACAUGCACAGGACGUACCUAGAGAUAGGUAUUCCCUUCGGGGCCUGUGCACAGGUGCUGCAUGGCUGUCGUCAGCUCGUGCCGUGAGGUGUUUGGUUAAGUCCAGCAACGAGCGCAACCCUUAUCACUAGUUGCCAACACGUAAAGGUGGGAACUCUAGUGAGACUGCCCGGGUUAACCGGGA
This 378-nucleotide ribosomal RNA is filed under the name uncultured bacterium. RNAcentral describes it as "bacterial SSU rRNA". It matches the Rfam family "Bacterial small subunit ribosomal RNA", at positions 790 to 1167 of the family's 1533-position model. The record is from RNAcentral.